Molecule: ribosomal RNA, 233 nt
Filed under: uncultured bacterium
Lineage: Bacteria
Description: partial 16S ribosomal RNA
Rfam family: Bacterial small subunit ribosomal RNA
Source: RNAcentral
UACGUAGGGUGCGAGCGUUAAUCGGAAUUACUGGGCGUAAAGCGUGCGCAGGCGGUUUGCUAAGACCGAUGUGAAAUCCCCGGGCUUAACCUGGGAACUGCAUUGGUGACUGGCAGGCUAGAGUAUGGCAGAGGGGGUAGAAUUCCACGUGUAGCAGUGAAAUGCGUAGAGAUGUGGAGGAAUACCGAUGGCGAAGGCAGCCCCCUGGGCCAAUACUGACGCUCAUGCACGAA